RNAcentral lists this ribosomal RNA (460 nucleotides) under uncultured bacterium. RNAcentral's name for it is "partial 16S ribosomal RNA". It matches the Rfam family "Bacterial small subunit ribosomal RNA", at positions 338 to 795 of the family's 1533-position model. The record is from RNAcentral.
CCUACGGGAUGCUGCAGUGAGGAAUAUUGGUCAAUGGACGAGAUUCUGAACCAGCCAAGUAGCGUGAAGGAUGACUGCCCUAUGGUUUGUCCACUUCUUUUAUCUGGGAAUAAAACAGGGUAUGCAUACACUCUUGUCUGUACCAUAUGAAUCAGGAUCGGCUAACUCCGUGCCAGCAGCCGCGGUAAUACGGAGGAUCCGAGCGUUAUCCGGAUUUAUUGGGUUUAAACGGAGAUGAGGUGGAUUGUUAAGUCAGUUGUGAAAUGUUGCGGCUCAACCGUAAAAGUGCAGGUGAAACUGGCAGUCUUGAGUACAGUAGAGGUGGGCGGAAGGAGGGGUGUAGGGGUGAAAUGCUUAGAUAUCACGAAGAACUCCGAUGGCGAAGGCAGCUCACUGGACUGCAACUGACACUGAUGCUCGAAAGUGUGGGGAUCAAACAGGAUUAGAUACCCUUGUAGUC